This 779-nucleotide ribosomal RNA is filed under the name uncultured Neocallimastigales. RNAcentral's name for it is "partial large subunit ribosomal RNA". It matches the Rfam family "Eukaryotic large subunit ribosomal RNA", at positions 20 to 644 of the family's 3401-position model. Lineage: Eukaryota; Fungi; Neocallimastigomycota; Neocallimastigomycetes; Neocallimastigales. The record is from RNAcentral.
CAUCACUACGCUAGAUGCAUAUCAAUAAGCGGAGGAAAAGAAACUAACAAGGAUUCCCCUAGUAACGGCGAGUGAAGCGGGAAGAGCUCAAAUUUGAAAUCUUAAAAGGUUUUCCUUUUACGAAUUGUAGUUUAAAGAAGUGUUUUCUGUUGAAGUUUUGGUACAAGUUCUUUGGAAUAGGACAUCAUAGAGGGUGAGAAUCCCGUAUUUGACCUUAAUUUUUCAACUUUGUGAUACACUUUCAAAGAGUCGGAUUGUUUGGGAAUGCAGUCCAAAAUGGGUGGUAAAUUUCAUCUAAGGCUAAAUAUUGGCGAGAGACCGAUAGCGAACAAGUACCGUGAGGGAAAGAUGAAAAGAACUUUGAAAAGAGAGUUAAAUAGUACGUGAAAUUGUCAAAAGGGAAGCGUUUGGCACCAGUGUUGUUUUUCUAAAAAUCAAUUUAAAAUUUGCUUAUGUUAAGUGUUUUAGACUUAAUCGGCUAUACAUUUAAUUCUUUGUAAAUUUUGAAUGCACUUUUUAGUUAACAAGUCAACAUCAAUUUUUUUUUGCUGUAAAAGAAUAAGAGGAAGGUGGCUUGAGAUUCGUUUCAAGUGUUUAUAGCCUCUUAUUCCAUGCAAUAGGAGGGAUUGAGGUCUGCAGCAUAGAUCCUUCGGGGCUAGAUGCUUUUGUGCUAGAAGCUAGUAUUAUAUAGACAACUUGUUGAUUAUGUAAUAUAUUAGUUUCUACUCGCUUAAAGUUAUUUUACCUACGCUUAGGAUGUUGACUGAUAUGUAGUCGUA